AGAAACGAAGGAACCACCACAUUCAAAAGGUGAAUUGCUGUUCUUGUUAUUCCUCAUACCGGGAAUAACAGUGCUACUGUUAGUGUUGUUUUAUGCACGUAAAAAGAUGAGUAAGUUUUUCCUGUGAAAUUACCUUUUAUUUUGUUUUCAGUUUAUAAAAUCAACAAUGGUAAAGAACAAUUGCACAUUUUGCUACUUGUUACUAGUACAAAAAAAAUACAAAACCUUACGAUUCAUAUUCAUAUUUUAAAAUACAGUGCUGUGAGUGCAAAUUAUAAAAAGUUGUAUUCUGAUUGAUAAGACAUGUUCAUAUCUGGCUAUUUACAAAUAUGCUCCACGAGAUCAUUGUUUGGGAUUAGUGGUAGUACUACGCUUUGUUGUGUAAAUUAUUAAAAACGUGUAUAGAUUUCAACUGUUUACUAUUUUUACUGAAGACGUUAUGUAUACAAAGACGUAAUAAACAUGUGACGUUACAAUUACAACAAGUAAAUAGUUAUCAAAGGUACCAGGAUUUUAAUUGAGUGCCCCGACGCGCGUUUCGUCUACAUAAGACUCAUCAGUGACGCUUAUAUCAAAAUAUUUAUUAAGCCAAACAAGUAAAAAGAUGAAUAGCAUUGAGGAUACAAAAUUCCGAAAAUGGGACCAAAUACGGCUAAGGUUAUCUAUGCCUGGGAUAAGAAAAUCCUUAGUUUUUCGAAAAAUGCAAAGUUUUGUAAACAGGAAAUUUGUAAAAAUGACCACACUAUUGCUAUUCAUGUCAACACCGACUGAAGUGUUGACUACUGGGCUGGUGAUACCCUUGGGGACGAAACGUUCACCAGCAGUGGCAUCGACCCAGUGGUGUAAAUAGUUAUCAAAGGUACCAGGAUUUUAAUUUAGUACGCCGACGCGCGUUUCGUCUACAUAAGACUCAUCAGUGACGUUCAUAUCAAAAUAUUUAUUAAGCCAAACAAGUAAAAAAUUGAUGAGCAUUGAAGAUAUAAAAUUCCAGAAAGUUGUGCCAAAUACGGCAGUAAGUGGCUCUGUAUUGCGGUUAAUUCGUAACAAUCAUAGCUUAAUAGCCAUACAUUUUAAAAGUUGUAAAAUGUAUUUUUAAAAUUUCAUAGAAAACAGUUAUCAAUUAUCAUGUUCAAGUGCUUAAUGACAAGUAAUUUUCUUGAACGAUGUUCGAUUGGGUUAAAAAAUGGUUCUUUUGUACCAAACCAAAGCUCACCAAAAGGAUACAUUACCUCUUAUCAUGUUAUUUUAUUUUAACCCAAUAUUAAAACAAUGUUACACUAAAAUAUACUGGUAAUUAUGUUUUGCUGAUCGGACACGCCCUAAUAACUAUAACAACAGAUUUAAAGCACUAGCAAAUCAGUAUUCAUUUUGACGCAUUUAUCCAUUAAUUUAAUUUUAAAAUCGUUUUCAAAAAUAAUAGAUAUAUAAUGUUAAUAAAACAAUCAUAUAAAAUACACUAUUAAAAUACUUUAUAAAACAUUAUCGGUUAACUUCUGAAACAGAAAUAAAUAUAUAUCUAAAUUAAAUUUUAAAGAUAUGAAAAAUGCGUAACUUAUAAAACUUAGACAAAGACGAAAAAAUACAUAGAUACUUUUUUUUUCCAUUUGUUCAACAAGCUAUUAAACCGACGCCCCGAUAUGCCAAUAUUAUGCAGAUAUAUAACAGUAUACUCAUUUCAGGUGUAGUUAGUUUGAGAGAAGAUGAGCAUAACAAAGAAAAUGAUCCAUGCUUUCAAAUAGUACCUACUAAUGAAACUGCGCACGUAAAUAUUAGCCUCCUUAACAAUUCAAACCAAGAACAAACAUGCUCUUGAUUUACGAAUAAGAUGUAUCAACUGAUAAUAUAUUGUUAUAAAUGUGAAUUGAUUUGCAAGUCAGCUAACUGAAAGACUUGGUUGUUGUGAUGUUCAUUUUUGUUAUGUUAUUGUUAUUGUAUGAUUUACAAAUAUGAG
RNAcentral lists this long non-coding RNA (1951 nucleotides) under Mytilus galloprovincialis (Mediterranean mussel). Lineage: Eukaryota; Metazoa; Mollusca; Bivalvia; Mytilida; Mytilidae. The record is from RNAcentral.